This is a non-coding RNA of Malus domestica (apple), 1382 nucleotides long. Lineage: Eukaryota; Viridiplantae; Streptophyta; Magnoliopsida; Rosales; Rosaceae. The record is from RefSeq and is a predicted model, not a curated record.
UCCUCACAUAGAGAAUCCUCAUUCUCCGGAAUUGGGUUAAUGGUUCUGUGUUCUUCUUGAUAAUUCCUCUCUCAUCAUUGCACCCCUCCCACUAAUUCCUCUCUCCCACGCCUCUCACUCGAUCUCUCAUUACACUCAAGACUCCUCCAUCUUCCAAUACUGUCACUCUCUCUCAUCCCUCACAAACUCCUCCCAUCUGUCCCCCUCUGCAACUCUCCUUCUCCCUCUCGGCAAAACCCACCGUAUCACCUCCAAACACCAUCCAAACUCACCCAAAAAUCAAAGCGGUCAAGGCGGUGGAGAAGUGGGUUAAUGGUUCUGUGUUCUUCUUGAUAAUUCUGUUCUCAACUCCAUUGAUUGUGACACACAACAACAAUUUGCGAUGUGCUCCAAAUAUUUGCAAAUUCAAGAACACUGAAGCAAAUUAUUCUCUCCAUAGUGCUCAAGCCGAUGACAGCCGGCAUGCUAUUGCUAUUUUACAACAAAACAUUAUUUAAACUAUUUUUUUAAAAAAUAAACAAGAUAAUAACGAUGCACUCAUUCAAAGUUCUCUAUCUAGCUAAGAAUGUUGGUAGUGGUGAAGUCCUACUGAAUUGCUGAAAAAAAGGUCCUCUCCAAUUGGUUUGAACCAAACUCCAAUCCAAAAAUAAUAAUAAUAAUAAAAUAACACUAGAACAACCGUUUUGAAUUGGUGCUCUAACGAACGUAUAUAUUGAAGAGCAAUUCACUUCAUCCAUAACCAACAGAGCUAAGGGUACGUUCUUUAAUUAUAACCAUAUUUGAUUUAAGUUUGAAUCUUGGAUCUCAUUUAUGGUAAUUUGGUGGUUGUCUUCAUAUUUGAUUUGAUUUGAUUUAGGGGCUUUUCACAUGUAAUUAGGCCCUUAAUAACAUGGAAAAAUGCUCCGGAUUCAAUAGUUUGUAGAAUCGAUUUACUUUAUAACACUAAAGAAAUUUUACAAAUAAGAAUCAAUUGGAACAUGACAAGUGGAUAGAUGAGGGUGUCGGAAUCGGGAUAUGGGCUAGUGUAGCUUAUAAUUUAGGGUUUAGGACUCGGCCUUUGGACGGAGUCCUAAACUUGUUAUCGCUUAACCCUAGGUCAUAAAAAUUAACCCUAUGUUUUUUUAUAAAAUAAAAUUAAAAAAAAAAUCAACAAUCGUGAGUUUUUUGGUAAACAGUGGGGCAUUUGGUUUGCUUCUAAAUUUGGUGCCAUGCAAGCUUGUACUUUUUAGUCAGUGUGUUGAUUAUUUAUCGUGUUUAUGUUAAAUCUGCAAUAGUUCAGUGUACAUACGUGAUGUAAUCUUGAAAAAGAAUGAAGAAAAUCAGAGAAAUUUAGAGAUGAAAUGCUUGGGCUAAUAGUAGCAGCUCAGCAUCCUUCAUGCAUU